This is a long non-coding RNA of Cervus elaphus (red deer), 433 nucleotides long. RefSeq lists it as uncharacterized. NCBI's taxonomy places the organism in Eukaryota, Metazoa, Chordata, Mammalia, Artiodactyla, Cervidae. The record is from RefSeq and is a predicted model, not a curated record. The transcript has 3 exons.
UACCCCUCACCCCUCACCCCCCCUCUUUCUUUCCACCACAUCUAGUCCCGCCCAUCCAUUUACUGAUGCCUGCAUGUGCCUCUGGUUUCACAAAUACAGGAAACACCCCGGCACCUGCCCCCUUGGGGCUGACAGUCAGUCCAGAGGGAUGACAGACGUUCACAAACAGUUGUGCGAACCCAUGGGUACGGGCGGUGAUGCGUGCCCUGGGGAGGGUCUCAUAAGACGUUUGCCUCCUUUAAUCCUGUCCAUGAGCAGCUAUAUGAUGAUGAUGUGAUAUCUAGAGCUGCAACAGCCAUCUUGCAGCCAUGAGACAACAAGCUUGACUACAACAGCAGAGAUACUGAACACACUGAGGUGAAAGAAUACAAGAUCUGAGGUCUUAUGAUGCUGGUGAUAUAUAAUACUCCUUUACCUACUAAAUACUAAAUAC